This 120-nucleotide ribosomal RNA is filed under the name Helianthus annuus (common sunflower). Lineage: Eukaryota; Viridiplantae; Streptophyta; Magnoliopsida; Asterales; Asteraceae. The record is from RNAcentral.
GGUUGCGAUCAUACCAGCACUAAUGCACCGGAUCCCAUCAGAACUCCGAAGUUAAGCGUGCUUGGGCGGGAGUAGUACUAGGAUGGGUGAUCCCCUGGGAAGUCCUCGUGUUGCAACCCC